This 406-nucleotide ribosomal RNA is filed under the name uncultured bacterium. RNAcentral describes it as "partial 16S ribosomal RNA". It matches the Rfam family "Bacterial small subunit ribosomal RNA", at positions 30 to 526 of the family's 1533-position model. The record is from RNAcentral.
AUUGAACGCUGGCGGCAGGCCUAACACAUGCAAGUCGAACGAGUGGCGGACGGGUGAGUAAUGUCUGGGAAACUGCCCACUGGAGGGUGAUCACUACUGGUAACGUUAGCUAAUACCGCCUACCAUCGGAUGUGCACACAUGGGAUUAGCUAGUCGUGGGGGUAACGGAUCACCUAGGCGACGAUCCCUAGCUGGUCUGAGAGGAUGACCAGCAACAAUGGAACUGAGACACGGUCCAGAAUCCUACGUGGGGCAGCAGUGGGGAAUAUUGCACAAAGGGCGCAAGCCUGAUACAGCCAUGAAGCGUGUAUGAAGAAGGCCUUCGGGUUGUAAAGUACUUUCAGCAAGGAGGCGUUACUCGCAGAAGAAGCACCGGCUAACUCCGUGCCAGCAGCCGCGGUAAUAC